AAAUAAAAUAAAAUAAAAACCUAAUUACUCUCUCUUUCCCCUAUUAUCUCUCUCCACAUUAUUCUCUCUUACCCUGUUUUUGCUUUCCUCAUUUCAAUCUCUCCUCUCUCCAUUUUUAUAUCAUCAUCAUGUUAGUCGAGCCAGUAAAAUUGGACCAGCAAAUCCUACCCCUCAACGCAAAUCAUGAAGCCAAUAAAUUUAGACAAAACCCACAAUGAUCAAAUCUGAACCUACCCAGAUUGCAGAAAAGCAAUAUCAGCCGAUCAAUUGAACUUGGAAAACAUCUCCUUCCUAGCUCUUCUUACAUUAUCAUACUCAAA
This 320-nucleotide unclassified non-coding RNA is filed under the name Hevea brasiliensis (rubber tree). Lineage: Eukaryota; Viridiplantae; Streptophyta; Magnoliopsida; Malpighiales; Euphorbiaceae. The record is from RNAcentral.